This 630-nucleotide ribosomal RNA is filed under the name uncultured bacterium. Its description in RNAcentral is "bacterial SSU rRNA". It matches the Rfam family "Bacterial small subunit ribosomal RNA", at positions 93 to 740 of the family's 1533-position model. The record is from RNAcentral.
GAGUGGCGGACGGGUGAGUAACACAUGGGUGACCUACCCCACAGAGAGGGAUACCGGCGAGAAAUUGCCGACAAGCCCGCAUAGGUUCUUGCUUCGAGCAGUGAGAGCAAAGUUUUCCGCAAACGCUGUGGGAUGGGCCUGUGGCCGAUUAGCUAGUUGGUGAGGUAAGAGCUCACCAAGGCGUCGAUCGGUAGCUGGUCUGAGAGGACGAUCAGCCACACUGGGAUUGAGAACGGCCCAGACUCCUACGGGGGGCAGCAGUGAGGAAUUUUCCGCAAUGGGGGCAACCCUGACGGAGCAACGCCGCGUGCAGGAGGACGCUUUUCGGAGUGUAAACUGCUUUUCUGUGGGAAGAGCAAGGACGGUACCACAGGAAGAAGCCCCGGCUAACUACGUGCCGGCAGCCGCGGUAAUACGUAGGGGGCGAGCGUUGUCCGGAGUUACUGGGCGUAAAGGGCACGCAGGCGGUCGGACGCGUUUCGGGUGACAGCGGGUGGCUUAACCACGCGAGUGUUCGAAAGACGGUCUGACUUGAGGGCUCGAGAGGGACACGGAAUUCCGGGUGGAGUGGUGAAAUGCGUAGAGAUCCGGAGGAACACCGAAGGCGAAGGCAGUGUCCUGGCGAGUGAC